CCUACGGGAGGCAGCAGUGGGGAAUAUUGGACAAUGGGCGAAAGCCUGAUCCAGCAACGCCGCGUGAGGGAUGACGGCCUUCGGGUUGUAAACCUCUUUCAGCAGGGACGAAGCGCAAGUGACGGUACCUGCAGAAGAAGCACCGGCCAACUACGUGCCAGCAGCCGCGGUAAUA
Molecule: ribosomal RNA, 175 nt
Filed under: uncultured bacterium
Lineage: Bacteria
Description: partial 16S ribosomal RNA
Rfam family: Bacterial small subunit ribosomal RNA
Source: RNAcentral